UGAGUACGAGCGGCUACGGCCGCGAAGUGGAUGAUGUCAAGCUUCCAAGAAAAGCCCUAUACCCGUUAAGGCAUGAUGGCCUGUACCCGAAACCGACACAGGUGGGGUGGUAGAGAAUACCGAGGGGCGCGAGGUAACUCUCUCUAAGGAACUCGGCAAAAUGGCCCCGUAACUUCGGGAGAAGGGGUGCCACCGCGAGGUGGUCGCAGUGAAGAGGCCCAGGCGACUGUUUACCAAAAACACAGGUCUCCGCUAAGUCGCAAGACGAUGUAUGGGGGCUGACGCCUGCCCAGUGCCGGAAGGUUAAGGAAGCUGGUCAGCGCAAGCGAAGCUGGCGACUGAAGCCCCGGUGAACGGCGGCCGUAACAAUAACGGUCCUAAGGUAGCGAAAUUCCUUGUCGGGUAAGUUCCGACCCGCACGAAAGGCGUAACGAUCUGGGCGCUGUCUCGGAGAGAGGCUCGGCGAAAUAGAAUUGUCUGUGAAGAUGCGGACUACGUGCACCCGGACAGAAAGACCCUAUGAAGCUUUACUGUAGCUUGGUAUUGUGCUCGGGCUCGGAAUGCGCAGGAUAGGUGGGAGGCUUUGAUCCAUUGCUUGCGGGUGAUGGUGAGCCACUGAUGGGAUACCACUCUUUCCGAGCUAGAGUUCUAACAGCAACCCGUUAUCCGGGUGCUGGACAGUAUCAGGUGGGCAGUUUGACUGGGGCGGUCGCCUCCUAAAAGGUAACGGAGGCGCGCAAAGGUCUGCUCAGGCUGGUUGGAAAUCAGCCGACGAGUGUAAAAGCAGAAGCAGGCUUGACUGUGAGACCUACAAGUCGAACAGGGAGGAAACUCGGCUUUAGUGAUCCGACGGUUCUGCGUGGAAGGGCCGUCGCUCAACGGAUAAAAGUUACUCUAAGGAUAACAGGCUGAUCUCCCCCAAGAGUUCACAUCGACGGGGAGGUUUGGCACCUCGAUGUCGGCUCAUCGCAACCUGGGGCUGAAGUCGGUCCCAAGGGUUGGGCUGUUCGCCCAUUAAAGCGGUACGCGAGCUGGGUUCAGAACGUCGUGAGACAGUUCGGUCCAUAUCCGGUGCACGCGCAGGAAUAUUGAGAGGAUUUCUCCCUAGUACGAGAGGACCGGGAGGAACGCACCUCUGGUGUGCCAGUUAUCGUGCCAACGGUAAACGCUGGGUAGCCAUGUGCGGAGUGGAUAACCGCUGAAAGCAUCUAAGUGGGAAGCCCACCUCAAGAUGAGUAUUCCCAUGGCAUAAGCCAGUAAGGUCACGGGAAGAACACCCGUUGAUAGGCUCUACGUGGAAGCGCAGUAAUGUGUGAAGCGGAGGAGUACUAAUAGACCGAGGGCUUGACC
Molecule: ribosomal RNA, 1350 nt
Filed under: metagenome
Description: bacterial LSU rRNA
Rfam family: Bacterial large subunit ribosomal RNA
Source: RNAcentral